GGAGUCUAGCAUGUGCGCAAGUCAUUGGGACGUUGCAUUAAACCUAAAGGCGAAAUGAAAGUGAAGGCGUGCCUCGCGCGCGCUUAGGGAGGAUGGGCCGUCGUCUUAGUAGAGGCCUCGCACUCCCGGGGCGUCUCUUUGUCUCCGGAUGCGUUCGUCGCUUUCGAGAGAUGAGGCGCACCCAGAGCGUACACGCUGGGACCCGAAAGAUGGUGAACUAUGCCUGGUCAGGACGAAGUCAGGGGAAACCCUGAUGGAGGUCCGUAGCGAUUCUGACGUGCAAAUCGAUCGUAAGAACUGGGUAUAGGGGCGAAAGACUAAUCGAACCAUCUAGUAGCUGGUUCCCUCCGAAGUUUCCCUCAGGAUAGCUGGCGCUCGUUGAAUUAAUUACAUGGACGAGAAAACCUUUACAAGAGUCUCAUCCGGUAAAGCGAAUGAUUAGAGGCAUUGGGGUCGAAACGGCCUCAACCUAUUCUCAAACUUUAAAUGGGUGAGAUCUCCGGCUUGCUUGAACGAUGAAGCCGCACGAGAUCGGAUCAGAGUGCCAAGUGGGCCAUUUUUGGUAAGCAGAACUGGCGCUGUGGGAUGAACCAAACGUCGAGUUAAAGCGCCAAAAUCGACGCUUAUGGGAUACCAUGAAAGGCGUUGGUAACUUAAGACAGCAGGACGGUGGCCAUGGAA
Molecule: ribosomal RNA, 681 nt
Filed under: Eucnemidae sp. UPOL 001234
Lineage: Eukaryota; Metazoa; Arthropoda; Insecta; Coleoptera; Eucnemidae
Description: eukaryotic LSU rRNA
Rfam family: Eukaryotic large subunit ribosomal RNA
Source: RNAcentral